RNAcentral lists this transfer RNA (65 nucleotides) under Dipodomys ordii (Ord's kangaroo rat). It matches the Rfam family "tRNA". From Rfam's summary of the family: Transfer RNA (tRNA) molecules are approximately 80 nucleotides in length. Their secondary structure includes four short double-helical elements and three loops (D, anti-codon, and T loops). Further hydrogen bonds mediate the characteristic L-shaped molecular structure. tRNAs have two regions of fundamental functional importance: the anti-codon, which is responsible for specific mRNA codon recognition, and the 3' end, to which the tRNAs corresponding amino acid is attached (by aminoacyl-tRNA synthetases). tRNAs cope with the degeneracy of the genetic code in two manners: having more than one tRNA (with a specific anti-codon) for a particular amino acid; and 'wobble' base-pairing, i.e. permitting non-standard base-pairing at the 3rd anti-codon position. The record is from Rfam by way of RNAcentral. Lineage: Eukaryota; Metazoa; Chordata; Mammalia; Rodentia; Heteromyidae.
GGUGACUCAGUGGUAGAGCACUUGCCUUGCAUGCAUGAGACCCUGGGUUCGAUUCCUCAGCACCA